CGGAGGGUGCAAGCGUUGCUCGGAAUCACUGGGCGUAAAGGGUGCGUAGGCGGUCUCGCAAGUCUGGCGUGAAAGCCCAAGGCUCAGCCUUGGAAGUGCGCUCGAAACGGCGAGGCUGGAGUGCCGGAGGGGAGAGUGGAAUUCCCGGUGUAGCGGUGAAAUGCGUAGAGAUCGGGAGGAAUACCGGUGGCGAAAGCGACUCUCUGGACGGCAACUGACGCUGAGGCACGAAAGCGUGGGGAGCAAACAGGAUUAGAUACCCUGGUAGUCCACGCCGUAAACGAUGGACACUAGGUGUCGGGGGGUAUCCGACUCCCUCGGUCGCCGCCGCUAACGCAGUAAGUGUCCCGCCUGGGAAGUACGGUCGCAAGAUUA
This 375-nucleotide ribosomal RNA is filed under the name uncultured organism. RNAcentral's name for it is "bacterial SSU rRNA". It matches the Rfam family "Bacterial small subunit ribosomal RNA", at positions 526 to 896 of the family's 1533-position model. The record is from RNAcentral.